Carassius auratus (goldfish) is the source of this 1800-nucleotide long non-coding RNA. RefSeq lists it as uncharacterized. NCBI's taxonomy places the organism in Eukaryota, Metazoa, Chordata, Actinopteri, Cypriniformes, Cyprinidae. The record is from RefSeq and is a predicted model, not a curated record. The transcript is spliced from 3 exons.
AUAUAUUCCAGACUUUUAAAGGGCCCUCUCUUCAUUUGGGGCCCUGGUAAUCAGUACUGGUUUUACCCCCAGUCCAACGCCCCUGGAUGAUGGUAUCCAUUCCAAAAUCCUUUGGAAGUCAAUGGCUACUGUCAACUGCAUGUUUGCCAGCAUUCUCCAAAAUAUCUUCAUUUGUGUUCAGCAGAAGAAAUAAACUAAAAUGACAGAAUUUAAGUUUUAUGGUGAACUAUCCCUUUAAACCUGUAAGACUGACCGAGUUAUUACCUCACCAAACAUAAUGUCACUUAAUCGUCAGGUAGUUUUGGACUUGCUGUCUUUAGGAGACACCAUGUUUACAUCAAUCUGUCAACUAUCAGACCGUACAGGUAACAGGGUGAAAGUAUGAUACGAUAGACCAAUGGUUAGACUUUGGAUUUAUGGCAUUAGGUGUACAAGUCUGUAUAUGUGUGCAAUCGCACUGAAUGUGCGAGACAAAUCUGAGGGAUAACGAUCGAUGUGACCUUAAAAGCUUUUAACCUGCUCUGUGCCCCUCAGUCACAGCUGUGAAGGUUUGCAUAGCAACAACCGCGCCGCUCAACAUUAAGGGGGGAUCUAUAUCUGACCAACUUCUUUCAAAAACGAAAAUGUAUCUUUUCUUGAGUUCAUAUGUUUUCUCGCUCUCAUAUCAAAGACACGUUAAAACAACCGUUUUGUAAGACGCUUGUUUGUUACUUGUAAUUCGUAACUUCGAUUUAAACUGUUGUUGUUUUUGACGUGCGCUAGUGUUGAAAUCUGCACAGCAACAAGCGCCAUGAUUGCGUUUUUUGAGUGCCCUGGUUACUGGCGCGCGCGGUUUCUAUCCAAUAAAAGAGCGCGUGAGAUUGUGUUCACAGUUAUGCGGAGGAACUGUUUAACCCAACAUCUCUGCUUUUCAUAGGAUUAUUGCGUUGUUGUAAAAAAUAUUUAUUUUGACUGACAUCACCUUGUCCUUUGGGGUGACUAGUAAGCAGAUGUCGAGGUAAAUGGACAAAAGGAAGAGAUGGGUGGACUUUUCUGGAGAAGUACACAGUGCUCAAAAUCUUUGUGCAUACUUUUAACUCUCUGGUCAGUUGGGGUAAUUUGGUACCUAUUCUGAGAAAAACAUAUUUCCCACUGUGUUACACGACCUGCCUGUCUCUCACUGAUCAAAUCACUAUUACCAGGUGACCCAACAGUGACAAUAAACUUUUGGUGUAACAAGCAAGAGGACAGGGAAGCAUCUGCUGUCUAUAAGGGUAAAAUUACAGGUUAUGAAAAGAAGCCCAUGGACCUCUGGGAGAAAAAAACGUGUUCCCUGACAAAAGCCUGAAAUCUCCAACAUUAUAACAUUUACUUAUGUUGUCUGUAUGAUUUUCCCAUUCUUGUUGUUUUGUAUUUUUUUAGGCACUUAAAAAAUUCUUUAUACUUCAUGGUAUUUUUCAAUUAAAAAUAAUAAUUCAACUGAACCAUGCUUCUUAUAAGCUAUAUAGUUAAAAUGGUUCACUUACACAUGGUUACACUUAGUGGUGUACUUCCAGUUCUUUGACUGUGUCACAGCUCAGUGUCAUGCCGUGUGUUCUACAUUCCUUUCCUGGAGAAAACAAAAUUAAAGGAAAAUUUAUAAAGCAAAAAUUCUGGCUUUUAUGUUCCUUAACAAAAUGACAAGUAAAUACAAAGUAUAAUAUCAACAUAACAUGCAGUGUGUUUUUUUUAACCUUAAGUUUUCUUGCACGUGUACAUUAUUUGAAAUAUUGAAAUGAAUGCUGUAUAAUCUUCUAGUAAAUAAAUCCUAGUGUUAUUGUU